This 300-nucleotide ribosomal RNA is filed under the name uncultured delta proteobacterium. RNAcentral's name for it is "bacterial SSU rRNA". It matches the Rfam family "Bacterial small subunit ribosomal RNA", at positions 9 to 293 of the family's 1533-position model. The record is from RNAcentral. Lineage: Bacteria; Deltaproteobacteria.
GAGUUUGAUCAUGGCUCAGAACGAACGUUAGCGGCGCGCUUAACACAUGCAAGUCGUGCGAGAAAGGGCUUCGGCCCCGGUAAAGCGGCGUCACGGGUGAGUAACACGUAGGUAACCUACCCCAGUGGUGGAUAACUUCUCGAAAGGGAGGGCUAAUACAGCAUGAGACCCACGCCCUCGAGAGAGGAUGAGGUAAAAGUCGGCCUCUUCAUGAAAGCUGGCGCCAGGGGAAGGGCCUGCGGCCCAUCAGCUAGUUGGUAGGGUAAUGGCCUACCAAGGCAAAGACGGGUAGGCUGGUCU